This 457-nucleotide ribosomal RNA is filed under the name uncultured Streptococcus sp. Its description in RNAcentral is "bacterial SSU rRNA". It matches the Rfam family "Bacterial small subunit ribosomal RNA", at positions 923 to 1382 of the family's 1533-position model. Lineage: Bacteria; Bacillati; Bacillota; Bacilli; Lactobacillales; Streptococcaceae. The record is from RNAcentral.
GCACAAGCGGUGGAGCAUGUGGUUUAAUCGAAGCAACGCGAAGAACCUUUACCAGGUCUUGACAUCCCGAUGCUAUUUCUAGAGAUAGAAAGUUACUUCGGUACAUCGGUGACAGGUGGUGCAUGGUUGUCGUCAGCUCGUGUCGUGAGAUGUUGGGUUAAGUCCCGCAACGAGCGCAACCCCUAUUGUUAGUUGCCAUCAUUCAGUUGGGCACUCUAGCGAGACUGCCGGUAAUAAACCGGAGGAAGUGGGGAUGACGUCAAAUCAUCAUGCCCCUUAUGACCUGGGCUACACACGUGCUACAAUGGUUGGUACAACGAGUUGCGAGUCGGUGACGGCGAGCUAAUCUCUUAAAGCCAAUCUCAGUUCGGAUUGUAGGCUGCAACUCGCCUACAUGAAGUCGGAAUCGCUAGUAAUCGCGGAUCAGCACGCCGCGGUGAAUACGUUCCCGGGCCUU